RNAcentral lists this ribosomal RNA (490 nucleotides) under uncultured bacterium. Its description in RNAcentral is "partial 16S ribosomal RNA". It matches the Rfam family "Bacterial small subunit ribosomal RNA", at positions 30 to 507 of the family's 1533-position model. The record is from RNAcentral.
AUUGAACGCUGGCGGCAGGCCUAACACAUGCAAGUCGAACGGUAACAGGAAGCAGCUUGCUGCUUCGCUGACGAGUGGCGGACGGGUGAGUAAUGUCUGGGAAACUGCCUGAUGGAGGGGGAUAACUACUGGAAACGGUAGCUAAUACCGCAUAACGUCGCAAGACCAAAGAGGGGGACCUUUGGGCCUCUUGCCAUCGGAUGUGCCCAGAUGGGAUUAGCUAGUAGGUGGGGUAACGGCUCACCUAGGCGACGAUCCCUAGCUGGUCUGAGAGGAUGACCAGCCACACUGGAACUGAGACACGGUCCAGACUCCUACGGGAGGCAGCAGUGGGGAAUAUUGCACAAUGGGCGCAAGCCUGAUGCAGCCAUGCCGCGUGUAUGAAGAAGGCCUUCGGGUUGUAAAGUACUUUCAGCGGGGAGGAAGGGAGUAAAGUUAAUACCUUUGCUCAUUGACGUUACCCGCAGAAGAAGCGCCGGCUAACUCCGUG